This 255-nucleotide ribosomal RNA is filed under the name uncultured bacterium. RNAcentral describes it as "partial 16S ribosomal RNA". It matches the Rfam family "Bacterial small subunit ribosomal RNA", at positions 524 to 776 of the family's 1533-position model. The record is from RNAcentral.
UACAGAGGUGGCAAGCGUUGUUCGGAUUUACUGGGCGUAAAGGGCGCGUAGGCGGCCACCGCAAGUCGACUGUGAAAUCUCCGGGCUUAACUCGGAAAGGUCAGCCGAUACUGCGGGGCUAGAGUGCAGAAGGGGCAACUGGAAUUCUCGGUGUAGCGGUGAAAUGCGUAGAUAUCGAGAGGAACACCUGCGGCGAAGGCGGGUUGCUGGGCUGACACUGACGCUGAUUGUGCGAAAGCUAGGGGAGCGAACGGG